CAGCCCUAAACGAUGCGCGUUAGGUGUAUCGGUGACCACGAGUCACCGAGGUGCCGAAGGGAAACCGUGAAACGUGCCGCCUGGGAAGUACGGUCGCAAGGCUGAAACUUAAAGGAAUUGGCGGGGGAGCACCACAACGGGUGGAGCUUGCGGUUUAAUUGGAUUCAACGCCGGAAAUCUUACCAGGGGCGACAGCAGAAUGAUGGCCAGGUUGAUGACCUUGCUUGACAAGCUGAGAGGUGGUGCAUGGCGUGUGACUGU
This 261-nucleotide ribosomal RNA is filed under the name uncultured archaeon. Its description in RNAcentral is "partial 16S ribosomal RNA". It matches the Rfam family "Archaeal small subunit ribosomal RNA", at positions 748 to 1008 of the family's 1478-position model. The record is from RNAcentral.